GUGCCAGCCGCCGCGGUAAUACGUAGGGGGCAAGCGUUGUCCGGAUUUACUGGGCGUAAAGGAUGUGUAGGCGGAUAUUUAAGUGAGAUGUGAAAUCCCCGGGCUUAACUUGGGGGCUGCAUUUCAAACUGGAUGUCUAGAGUGCAGGAGAGGAAAGCAGAAUUCCUGGUGUAGCGGUGAAAUGCGUAGAGAUUGGGAAGAAAGCCAGUGGCGAAGGCGGCUUUCUGGACUGUUACUGACACUGAGGCAGGAAAGCGUGGGGAGCAAACAGGAUUAGAUACCCGGGUAGUCCACGCCGUAAACGAUGAAUACUAGGUGUAGGAGGUAGCGACUCCUUCUGUGCCGCAGUUAACACAAUAAGUAUUCCGCCUGGGGAGUACGGUCGCAAGAUUAAAACUCAAAUGAAUUGGCGG
RNAcentral lists this ribosomal RNA (413 nucleotides) under uncultured bacterium. RNAcentral describes it as "bacterial SSU rRNA". It matches the Rfam family "Bacterial small subunit ribosomal RNA", at positions 505 to 916 of the family's 1533-position model. The record is from RNAcentral.